GGUUCUAUUUUGUUGGUUUCUAGGACCGCCGUAAUGAUUAAUAGGGACAGUCGGGGGCAUCAGUAUUCAGCGGCCAGAGGUGAAAUUCUCGGAUUCGCUGAAGACUAACUUAUGCGAAAGCAUUCACCAAGGAUGUCUCCUUUAAUCAAGAACGAAAGUUGGGGGAUCGAAGACGAUCAGAUACCGUCGUAGUCUCAACCAUAAACUAUGCCGACUAGGGAUGAGUGAACGUUGCAUUUUCGACUUCAUUCGCACCUUAUGAGAAAUCAAAGUCUUUGGGUUCCGGGGGGAGUAUGGUCGCAAGGCUGAAACUUAAAGGAAUUGACGGAAGGGCACCACCAGGAGUGGAGCCUGCGGCUUAAUUUGACUCAACACGGGAAAACUUACCAGGUCCAGACACAAUAAGGAUUGACAGAUUGAGAG
RNAcentral lists this ribosomal RNA (423 nucleotides) under uncultured Cercozoa. Its description in RNAcentral is "SSU rRNA". It matches the Rfam family "Eukaryotic small subunit ribosomal RNA", at positions 832 to 1254 of the family's 1831-position model. The record is from RNAcentral. Lineage: Eukaryota; Cercozoa.